UACGUCGGUGGCGAGCGUUGUCCGGAUUUACUGGGCGUAAAGAGCGCGCAGGCGGCUGGUCAAGUCCGAUGUGAAAGCUCCCGGCUUAACUGGGAAAUUGCAUCGGAAACUGAUCGGCUGGAAGGUGGGAGAGGGUAGCGGAAUUCCCGGUGUAGUGGUGAAAUGCGUAGAUAUCGGGAGGAACACCAGUGGCGAAAGCGGCUACCUGGCCCAUUCUUGACGCUGAGGCGCGAAAGCUAGGGGAGCAAACGGG
RNAcentral lists this ribosomal RNA (253 nucleotides) under uncultured bacterium. RNAcentral describes it as "partial 16S ribosomal RNA". It matches the Rfam family "Bacterial small subunit ribosomal RNA", at positions 524 to 776 of the family's 1533-position model. The record is from RNAcentral.